This 610-nucleotide ribosomal RNA is filed under the name Streptomyces sp. YIM 65637. Its description in RNAcentral is "bacterial SSU rRNA". It matches the Rfam family "Bacterial small subunit ribosomal RNA", at positions 56 to 683 of the family's 1533-position model. Lineage: Bacteria; Bacillati; Actinomycetota; Actinomycetes; Kitasatosporales; Streptomycetaceae. The record is from RNAcentral.
UGCAAGUCGAACGAUGAAGCCCUUCGGGGUGGAUUAGUGGCGAACGGGUGAGUAACACGUGGGCAAUCUGCCCUUCACUCUGGGACAAGCCCUGGAAACGGGGUCUAAUACCGGAUAACACUUCCUGCCGCAUGGUGGGGGGUUAAAAGCUCCGGCGGUGAAGGAUGAGCCCGCGGCCUAUCAGCUUGUUGGUGGGGUGAUGGCCUACCAAGGCGACGACGGGUAGCCGGCCUGAGAGGGCGACCGGCCACACUGGGACUGAGACACGGCCCAGACUCCUACGGGAGGCAGCAGUGGGGAAUAUUGCACAAUGGGCGAAAGCCUGAUGCAGCGACGCCGCGUGAGGGAUGACGGCCUUCGGGUUGUAAACCUCUUUCAGCAGGGAAGAAGCGAGAGUGACGGUACCUGCAGAAGAAGCGCCGGCUAACUACGUGCCAGCAGCCGCGGUAAUACGUAGGGCGCAAGCGUUGUCCGGAAUUAUUGGGCGUAAAGAGCUCGUAGGCGGCUUGUCACGUCGGAUGUGAAAGCCCGGGGCUUAACCCCGGGUCUGCAUUCGAUACGGGCUAGCUAGAGUGUGGUAGGGGAGAUCGGAAUUCCUGGUGUAGCGGUG